AAAUUACUAGCUUAAUGGUAGAGUACUCGACUUUUAAUCGAAUGGUUCUGAGUUCAAAUCUCAGGUAAUUUA
Molecule: transfer RNA, 72 nt
Filed under: Plasmodium malariae
Lineage: Eukaryota; Apicomplexa; Aconoidasida; Haemosporida; Plasmodiidae
Rfam family: tRNA
About the family: Transfer RNA (tRNA) molecules are approximately 80 nucleotides in length. Their secondary structure includes four short double-helical elements and three loops (D, anti-codon, and T loops).
Source: Rfam by way of RNAcentral